UUUUUGACUUGCUUUGCAUGGCAGGCUCCCUGCACGUAUGUGCGGCCAACUGUCAUGGGGCGGUCUUUUCACUAUCCCUUUGAUAUGCAUUACUGCUGUCUUGGGAUUUUUACCAUUGGUUGCCUGUGUGGUUCUACCCUUGUCGGUAGCACGAAUGUCCCGUUUUUGUAUGUUUAGCUUGCUCUGUUGAUGCUGUUCAUCAACGUGCGGCCGAGGUGUCAACAAAUUCCAUGUGUCGCCAUUCGNNNNNGCCUCNNUGCCCNNNUNGGNNGUAUACGGGCUUCUAGCUUUGUAGRCCUUGCGAGGUUGCCCUUGCACAGUUCAUAGCUCCCGAUGUGUCUCAGUCRUGUCGUGGUUUCUACGUCAUGUUGGGAGCCCUCUUACACAGAGCUUGACUAUGUGCUUGUGGCGUACCUCUSKGACCGAAUGACUUGCGAUUGCCGNUUUUUGUUGUCAYAAGG
This 461-nucleotide unclassified non-coding RNA is filed under the name Cyperus debilissimus. RNAcentral describes it as "partial external transcribed spacer 1f". Lineage: Eukaryota; Viridiplantae; Streptophyta; Magnoliopsida; Poales; Cyperaceae. The record is from RNAcentral.